ACAACUUGGAGGGAAGGAGGUUAGGGAAGGGCUCGGGAAGAUUGACAACUGAGGAGAGGAGGAGAUUAGGGAGGAAGGAAAUGAACAAACAUUGAACAAACAUCAAUUUAAGGCAAAAAUGCACCACAACACUGCAUUUUUGAUAUCCUGCUUGAAAAUGUGGCCUGAUUUUCAAGGAUUUUCAAACUAAGCGAAUUCAAGUCAGAAUAGUACUUUACAGUCCUAAAGAAUGCUUUGUUUUCCCGCUUUACCAGUGGGGCCUUACACACCUUUGCCAGUGAGGCAUAGGAGGCAUUGAUUAUAUAUCUAUCAUAAACUCUGGGAUACAGAAACUUCAUAAGAAUAAUGACUUUUUAUUGAGGACUGCUCUGAGCUGAAAUUAAUGCAUCUUCUGUCUGCAAAGAUGAAGCAAUUUAAGAAGCAGAAUAGAACAUAUUUGGAUGGUGACAGAGCAUCAGACCCAUAAAAGAGCAGAACAGUGUCAACAGCUAUGACUUCUCCUGAAGACGUCUGCUCAAUGGGUAAGGGCUGUUGUAAUUGCUAUGUGAUGUACAGUCUGAGAGGCCUAUCCCAACGUGAAAGUUAUAUACAUCAGAUUUUCAGAUUCAAGCAGAGCGUGUGCUAUAGGAGGACCUGGGUAUCCUUGCAAGACCUCUUUCAUCUCUCAUUGCAGAUAGGAUCUGGCAAAGAAGGAGCACCACAUUAUUUUAACACAAAGACAACUGUCACAUUAUUUCCCCAGUGGCCAAUCACCCUGCAGGGGACAACUUCAUCUAUAUUGUACCUGCUUAACAUACUUCAUUAACUCUGUCAAUUACCAGCUACCUCAGCACCUUUUCUGUUGGCAUUACACAAUUUAUUCUUUCAUUGUCCCAAACAGUACCACAGCUCCUACUGCUUCAUAAUCCAAGUAAGGAGAUAUUAAUCUUAGAAAUGUGUAUUAGAACAAUUAAAAUAGAUUUUCAAGAUGGUUUAUGGUUUGUUUUUUUGAUGGUGUUCAGAACAUACUACUAUUUUUGAAUUUUAAAUAUAAGGGAGAGUUCCCUCCAAAAAGCAGACACAUCUUUUAAAGUGUACUAUAUUUUUUUUUUUUUGACAGAGACUUUUCAUAGAAGUUCUCACUGCCAAGUAUAGCAGCAAACUUUUCUAGUUUAACAUACUCUUUCAAGAUAAACUAAAGGCAAAUAAACAGAGACUUGACUUUAGUCACCUCAUUGAGGCUUGCUAGCUAGGAGCUAAGAAGCAUAUUUAUCCUGGGCUCUUCUGCAGGCAUUGGAGACAGGCUCACCAUUCUGAAUAGAAAUUCAGCCCACCUAAGCCAAACUAUACUCACUGACUUGUGUGAGACUGCUCCUCACCACAGGCCUUGGUUAAGUGGUUUUUCAUUGUGUAAUUUAGAAUAUCUUUGUGAGAAGCAGGACUUCUGGUUCAAGAGUCAGACAGAGACAGUUCAAGAGGGUGGCUGCAAUGGCCAACUGAAAGGUGGGGUUGGAUGAGGAGUUGAAAGUCUGGGGAGGGGAAUAGGAAGGGGGUUUGAGAGUUCCAGGCAGCAAAGCUGCAGGAGGCUCCACAGACAGAAGGUGUAAAACUAGAAGGAGCAUUUCUUUGAGCUAGCACUCAGUGUAUGCAAUUGUCUACUUGAAUAUUAAGCUCUGCUCAUGCUGAUCAGCUUCAGUGAAUGAGCCCAGAUCACCCGAGAAAGGAGCAUGGGGGGGCAGUGUUGGGUACAAAAGGGUGACACUCACAACUGCACAAUUCCACAAUUCCCCACCACUGCUGUGGGGCAAGAACAGAAUUACAGGACUCCUCCUUACUUCCCUCCCUCACCCUCUUCUCUUUCUCUAUUUUUUUUUCCCUUUUCCUUUAUCUGGAGUACGACAGGUUUCUUCAAAGGACACUUUUGAAACUAAGAAAACCUGUAUUUUCACAGAAAAAAAUCAAAUAGUAAAUGACCUAAUGCCUGCUACAAAGACAUCUGAUUAAAGCAAAUUCAACAUACAGUUUAGAACAGACUAGCAUCAAACGUUCUGAAAGGGAACAGAUGAACCAAGAAAAUUGAAAGUCAAUGGAAAUCCUAAAUACCUGCUGAUUACAUGGAGUUUCCCCAGUCAGUUUUCAAAAGAAGCAAGGGACAUCUGAUCACUCAGCUCCUGCUCUAAUUAGUUUGAAAGGCAAAUCCAUCAGAAAAG
This 2189-nucleotide long non-coding RNA is filed under the name Taeniopygia guttata (zebra finch). RNAcentral's name for it is "lncRNA (ENSTGUG00000027080.1)". The record is from RNAcentral. Lineage: Eukaryota; Metazoa; Chordata; Aves; Passeriformes; Estrildidae.